Molecule: ribosomal RNA, 215 nt
Filed under: uncultured bacterium
Lineage: Bacteria
Description: partial 16S ribosomal RNA
Rfam family: Bacterial small subunit ribosomal RNA
Source: RNAcentral
GUCCCAGUUCGGAUUGCAGGCUGCAACCCGCCUGCAUGAAGUUGGAAUCGCUAGUAAUCGCGGAUCAGCAUGCCGCGGUGAAUACGUUCCCGGGCCUUGUACACACCGCCCGUCACACCAUGAGAGUCGGGAACACCCGAAGUCCGUAGCCUGACCGCAAGGGGGCGCGGCCGAAGGUGGGUUCGAUAAUCGGGGUGAAGUCGUAACAAGGUAAC